Lolium rigidum is the source of this 272-nucleotide long non-coding RNA. RefSeq lists it as uncharacterized. The transcript has 3 exons. Lineage: Eukaryota; Viridiplantae; Streptophyta; Magnoliopsida; Poales; Poaceae. The record is from RefSeq and is a predicted model, not a curated record.
GCCCACUCGAAACAAGAUUGAUGCACAAGUCGUUCUCUAUGAGGACAAGCGACAAGGUUUUUCUAAUGUGAUGGCCAUCGAAAACAUGGGCAAAAGAAACCCUCUUGAUUGGUGGAGUUCAUAUGGUGGUCGAGCCAUUGACCUACAAAGGUUUGCAAAGAGGAUUGUUAGUCUUUGUGCAUCAUCAUCCGGUUGUGAGAGGAAUUGGAGUGCAUUUGAAUUUAUCCAUACCAAGAAAAGGAAUCGGUUACAACACCGAAUCUUGAAUGACA